CACUCCUGCGGAGGCAGCAGUGAGGAAUAUUGGACAAUGGGUGGAAGCCUGAUCCAGCCAUCCCGCGUGCAGGAAGACGGCCCUAUGGGUUGUAAACUGCUUUUAUCUGGGGAUAAACCUACUUACGUGUAAGUAGCUGAAGGUACCAGAAGAAUAAGCACCGGCUAACUCCGUGCCAGCAGCCGCGGUAAUACGGAGGGUGCAAGCGUUAUCCGGAUUUAUUGGGUUUAAAGGGUCCGUAGGCGGACUGAUAAGUCAGUGGUGAAAUCCGACAGCUUAACUGUCGAACUGCCAUUGAUACUGUUAGUCUUGAGUAAGGUUGAAGUGGCUGGAAUAAGUAGUGUAGCGGUGAAAUGCAUAGAUAUUACUUAGAACACCAAUUGCGAAGGCAGGUCACUAAGUCUUAACUGACGCUGAUGGACGAAAGCGUGGGGAGCGAACAGGAUUAGAAACCCUGGUAGUCCCA
Molecule: ribosomal RNA, 466 nt
Filed under: uncultured organism
Description: partial 16S ribosomal RNA
Rfam family: Bacterial small subunit ribosomal RNA
Source: RNAcentral